AACGAACGCUGGCGGCAUGCCUAACACAUGCAAGACGAACGAGAUCUUCGGGUCUAGUGGCGCACGGGUGCGUAAUGCGUGGGAAUCUGCCCUUUGGUUCGGAAUAACCGUUGGAAACGACUGCUAAUACCGGAUGAUGACGAAAGUCCAAAGAUUUAUCGCCAGAGGAUGAGCUCGCGUAGGAUUAGCUAGUUGGUGUGGUAAAGGCGCACCAAGGCGACGAUCCUUAGCUGGUCUGAGAGGAUGAUCAGCCACACUGGGACUGAGACACGGCCCAGACUCCUACGGGAGGCAGCAGUGGGGAAUAUUGGACAAUGGGCGAAAGCCUGAUCCAGCAAUGCCGAGUGAGUGAUGAAGGCCUUAGGGUUGUAAAGCUCUUUUACCCGGGAUGAUAAUGACAGUACCGGGAGAAUAAGCUCCGGCUAACUCCGUGCCAGCAGCCGCGGUAA
This 449-nucleotide ribosomal RNA is filed under the name uncultured bacterium. Its description in RNAcentral is "partial 16S ribosomal RNA". It matches the Rfam family "Bacterial small subunit ribosomal RNA", at positions 29 to 523 of the family's 1533-position model. The record is from RNAcentral.